UUACCAAAUGCAUAAUUAUUAUGUUUUCAUACCCCCUAGAUUGGCAGUGAGAAGAAGUCCAGUCCUCUAGACAGUAUCAGAGGGCCUCCCUCGUUUCUUACCACCCACUGAGGUUGAGGAGAAGAGUGAGACCAAUCGAUGUCUAGAGGACAACCUGCUGAGGUAGUUGGAGGAGAAGUUGCUCGAGAGGUCUCAAAUCAUGGACCCGGGUGUCAUAGCUGAGCUGGAGUGAGAAUUGGAACUGGCCAACAGAAAGGCAGAUGUUCAGGUUCGGAAAUGUUAAUUGUGUUUGAGAUCACGUCAGGCAGAUAGAGAAGGUGGAGCUGGUCCUCCAGGACCUCCUUCAGCUGCAAUACGAGGGCCUGGCAAUCAUGAAGAUGUUUGGAAGGGCCAAAGUGAACGUUAAUCUGCUCAUCUUCCUCAUGAACAAUAAUUGUCAGAGCGUUAAAUUGGAUUUUUCAUUAGCAUAAUAUAUUCAUUGACAAUUCACAGCAGUGCAUUUGAGCAUUGAAUUAUUUAUAUCAUCUGCAUGUACUAUUGACACGUUGAUUAUUCUUCAUGUAUAUACUAUUGAUAUUCUUAUUG
This is a long non-coding RNA of Halichondria panicea, 585 nucleotides long. RefSeq lists it as uncharacterized. NCBI's taxonomy places the organism in Eukaryota, Metazoa, Porifera, Demospongiae, Suberitida, Halichondriidae. The record is from RefSeq and is a predicted model, not a curated record. The transcript is spliced from 4 exons.